Pseudopipra pipra is the source of this 6913-nucleotide long non-coding RNA. RefSeq lists it as uncharacterized. The record is from RefSeq and is a predicted model, not a curated record. NCBI's taxonomy places the organism in Eukaryota, Metazoa, Chordata, Aves, Passeriformes, Pipridae. The transcript is spliced from 2 exons.
CCUGUCCCUGUCCCUAUCCCUGUCCCUGUCCCUGUCCCUGUCCCUGUCCCUGUCCCUCUCCCUGUCCCUCUCCCUGUCCCUGUCCCUGUCCCUGUUCCCGUCCCUGUCCCCGCCCGGACCAACCAACACCAAAACCUUGUUUUUAAGGGCACUCCAACCUUCCCCCUCGGCCGCGCGUCCGGGAGGGUCGUUCGGGAGCUCCGGGGUUCAAUAAUUCCAGCCGCUCUCCCUUUCCCCGGGAAUUAUCCCGCUCCUUUCCCUCCGAUCCCCGCCCCCGGAGCAUCAGCUCCCGGCAGAUGCCCUUCGAGCUGUCCCGGCUGCCGCAGGGAGCUUUUUUUCCCCCGCGGUUGGAUCCGUCCCAGCGCGGCGUGGGAGGAAGGCGAGGCGAUGGCUCAGCAUUUCCAGCAUCCUCCCCCGAGGAUGGAGCCGGUUUUCCAGGUUUUGGGUGCCCUGUGCUGCUCUGGGGACCCUUCAGGGACCAGGGGAAGGUGGGAGCAGGAGACCUGCGAUCCUGGAGCACUCAGGGGUCAGGGAAAGGGGGAAGGGGGAGAUCUGGGAUCCUGGAGCACUCAGGGAAAAGUGGGAGUGGGAGAUCUGGCAUCCUGGAGCACUCAUGGAUGAGGGGAAGGUGGGAGCAGGAGACCUGGGAUUCUGCAGCACUCAGGGAAAAGUGGGAGCAGGAGACCUGGGAUCUUGGAGCACUCAGGGGUCAGGGAAAAGUGGGAGUGGGAGAUCUGGGAUCCUGGAGCACUCAGGGAAAAGUGGGAGUGGGAGACCUGGGAUCUUGGAGCACUCAGGGGUCAGGGAAAAGUGGGAGUGGGAGACCUGGGAUCCUGGACUGCUCAGGGGUCAGGGAAGUGGGACCAGGACACCUGGGAUCCUAGGAAACCUCAGGCUCCGGGGGAAGGUGGCAGAAGGACACUUGGGAUCCUGGAGCACUCAGGGUCCAGGGAAGGUGGGAGCAGCCCCUGGGCAGCAGGAAACCUGGAAUGCUGCCCAUGGGAUGCAUCCUGGGGCUCGGCAUCCCUUCCUCACCGUGGCUGCAGGUGAGGCUGGAGACUCUGCUCCUCAAAUCCCUCACGGCCAAGGAGGGAAAUAUUUAUUUGCAGCUGGAUAUUUAUUGAAUAAAUAGGAAGGAGAUGAUUUUUGGAGGGAGGGGGGGAAGAAAAAGAAACAAAAAAGAGAACAAACAAAGCAGCUCAGGCAGCCUCCCUGUCUUAUCAACCCUCAAGUUCUCCUUCAUCUGUGCUCAAAUCUCUAUAAUUUACUCGUCUUUCCCUCGCAGUGUUUACAGCUUUUAUGUCGUUUGAAGGUUAUUUAUAACAAUUAUGUAAGGAGGAAAGAAAAGUUCCAUAAACUGAGCAGUAAUUACCUCCACAGCCGGCGUUUAAGGAGCGUCGUAAACACGAGGAACAAUAAAUGGAACGGAAGAGGGAACAAUUGGCUGUAAAUAAACACACAGGUAACGAGGAGGAGACAAAACAAACCCGCUGGUGACACAGAGCUCUGCAGGGGAGCGCCGGGCCGGGAAUGGAGCAGCUGGAGAAGCUGCCAGGGGGUCAAAUAUCCCGGGAUGUCGUUCCAGGGGGGGCUCAGGGGCGUCAAAGGCACCAGAGUGUCCCUGAUGUGCACCCUGAAGGGUCACAGGGGGGAUUUUGGGGGUCUCUGUGGGUGAACUCCUCCUUCCUUGCCCCUGAGGAGGAUGCAGGGGGGUUGGAUGAGGAUGCAGGACGGAUUAUGAGGAUGCAGGAUGGUUCCUGAGGAUGCAGGAUGGUUCCUGAGGAUGCAGGAUGGUUGGAUGAGGAUGCAGGAUGGUUUGGUGAGGAUACAGAGUGGUCUGAGAAGGUUGCAGGGUGGUUUGAGGAGGUUUCAGGAUGUUUGAUGAACAUGUAGGAUGGUUCCUGAGGAUGCAGGGUGGUUGAUGAGGAUGCAGGAUGGAUUAUGAGGAUGCAGGGUGGUUUGUGAGGAUACAGGAUGGUUGAUGAGGAUGCAGGAUGGUUCCUGAGGAUGCAGGAUGGUUGAUGAGGAUGCAGGAUGGAUUAUGAGGAUGCAGGGUGGUUUGUGAGGAUGCAGGAUGGUUUCAGGGAGAUGCAGAGCGGUCUGAGAAGGUUGCAGGAUGGUUUGAGGAGGAUUCAGGAUGUUUGGUGAGCAUGUAGGAUGGCUGAUGAGGAUGCAGGGUGGUUGGAUGAGGUUACAGGAUGGUUCCUGAGGAUGCAGGAUGGUUCCUGAGGAUGCAGGGUGGUUGGAUGAGGAUGCAGGAUGGAUUAUGAGGAUACAGGAUGGUUUGUGAGGAUGCAGGAUGGUUCCUGAGGAUGCAGGAUGGUUCCUGAGGAUGCAGGAUGGUUCCUGAGGAUGCAGGGUGGUUGAUGAGGAUGCAGGAUGGUUGAUGAGGAUGCAGGGUGGUUGAUGAGGAUGCAGGGUGGUUGAUGAGGAUGCAGGAUGGUUCCUGAGGAUGCAGGGUGGUUCCUGAGGAUGCAGGAUGGUUCCUGAGGAUGCAGGGUGGUUGAUGAGGAUGCAGGAUGGUUCCUGAGGAUGCAGGGUGGUUGAUGAGGAUGCAGGAUGGUUCCUGAGGAUGUAGGGUGGUUCCUGAGGAUGCAGGGUGUUUGGAGGGGGAUCCUGCCUCCCCCAGUGCCUCUCCAGGCUGUGUUUUUGGAGGCAGAGGGCAGGCAGGGCAGUUGGGAGGCUGCAGCUCCCGCUGCCCUCGGGCUUUGACACCUCCUUGAAGGAGAAUUCCCAGUGAGCCCCUUUGGGCUCCUGGGAGGCAGCAGGGGUUGUUUUCCUCCUCCCAGCUCCCCCAGUUUGGAGCCCAGUGAGUCUGUCCAGGGGCCGUGUGAGACAAAAGAAGAGGUUCUUUAAUUUUGUUCUAAUUUCCAGUGAUGUUUGCUAAGUCACUGUGGGCCCUUAUCAGCCCUUUCCAUUUCCUGAGGAAUCCCAUUCUCUUCUCUGUCCUCUCUGAGCUCGAGCCCCAGAUCUGAAGAGCUGUUUAUUAUCUGCUUUGCCUCCUGAUAAGCUCCUGUUUAUAAAUUCGCCUCCCCUUCUAUAUAUCUCCAUUUGCUUGUUGUUUGGUUUUUGUUUUUGGUUUUUUUUCCUUCCUGAUUUUUUUAAUUUAUUUAUUUCUUUUUAAACUGUAGAUAAGACAUUUUCUCCCUUUUUGCUGGCUGCCUGCCAGCCCAGGGCCCCUCUCCAGCCCUGACAUCGCCUCGGGGACGUUGGGGGUUCGUAUUUCGGGUAAAUUCACUCACUUCAGGGUCACCCAGGAGGGGUUUUUUUCCCCCUCGACCACCAGCUCUGGAUGGGACCUUCCCAUUCCAUGGGGUGCAGCUCCCAGGGGGAUGCAGGAGGAUGCAGAGGGAUGCAGGAGUGUGCACAAGAUGCAGAAGGACACAGAAGGAUGCAGGAGGAUGAAAGAGGAUACAGGGGGACGUUGGAAGAUGCAGGAGGGAGCAGGAGGAAUCAGGAGGAUGCAGGAAGGUGCAGAAGGACACAGGAAGGUGCAGAAGGACAGAGGAAGGUGCAGAAGGAUGCAGAAGGGUGCUGGGGAUGCAGGAAUGUGAAGGAGGAUGCAGGAGGGUGCAGGGGAUGCAGGGAGAUGCAGGAGGAUGCAGGAGGAUGCAGGGGAUGCAGGGAGAUAUAGGGGAUGCAGGAGGAUCCAGGGAUGCAGGAGGAUGCAGGGGGAUGCAGGAGGAUGAAAGAGGAUACAGGGGGAUGCUUGAAGAUGCAGGAGGAUGCAGGAGGAUCCAGGGGAUGCAGGGAUGCAGGGGGAUGCAGGAGGAUGCAGGGAAUGCAGGGAAUGCAGUAGGAUGUAGGGAUGCAGGAGAAUACAGGAGGAUGCAGGGGAUGCCAGAGGAUCCAAGGAUGCAGGAGGAUCCAGGGGAUGCAGGGAAGCAGGAGGAUGCAGCUCCCAGGGAGCUGAGGCAGGAGAGGACCUGGCUCUGGAAUUGCUCUGGGACUGUCCCCACCUACACCAAGAGGAAACAGCCCCAAAACCUCCUUUCCUUCCCAUUUCCCGACUUCCCUGAGCGGGGCUUUACCAAACCUGUGCUCCCAGAGGGAAGGGACAGCUGUGGCCCCCCAGGAAAUAUUUCCAGAGCACAAAGUUGUCCCCAGCCACCCCCCAGGGCAGGAGGGGGGACGAUCCAUCAGCCCCGGGUGUCACCUCAGGGCCUCUUUGCCGCCCGGAAAAGCCGGAUCCAUCCCGCUCCUUCCCAGCAAGGACACCCAGCAAGGUCCCUGUCACCCGCCUGAAAUAUGGAGAGGCCACCAGGGCUGGGAAAACUUCCACCAAACCCAGCUUUUCCUUUGAAUUACUCCCGAGGUUUGCUCUGCUGCCCGGCCAGGGAGAGGCUCCGGCUGUUCCCAGCAGGGGCCCGGGGUGCAGAUUCCCGAGGGGGGGACGGAUGAACUCGGCUCCAGGCAGGGGGGAAGAGUCACCAGGACCUGCUGUGGGGUUUGGGGUUGGGGCUGGACCCGGUGGCUGCACUGGAAUUCCUGGGCAAAGGGCUCCUGGUGGAGGUGGGGGGCACUGGGAGGGAUCCUGUGCUCCGGGUCCCGGCUGGAGCGUCGUGUUCCCGAGGGAGGGAUCCCUGAGGAGGUUCCCAGGGGCUGAGCCCAGGGCUGAGGACACUGAGAGGGUUUAAUGGGGCAGGAGGAUGCAGGGGGGGCAAAAGGAUACAGGAGGGUGUCAGGGGGUGUAGGAGGAUGAAGGGGGAUGCAAAAGGAUACAGGAGGGUGUCAGGGGGUGUAGGAGGAUGAAGGGGGAUGCAGGAGGAUGCAAAAGGAUACAGGAGGGUGAAAGGGAUGCAGGGGGAUGCAGGAGGGUGCAGGGAGAUGCUGGAGGAUGCAGAGGAAUGUAGGAGGAUGCAGAGGAAUGUAGGAGGACUCAGGAGGAGCCGUGGGGAUGCAGGAGGGCACAGAAGGACUCAGAGGGAUACAGGAGGGUGCAGGGAGAUUCUGGAUGGUGAAGGAGGAUGCAGGAGGAUGCAGGAGGGUGCAGGAGGAUACAGGAGGAUGCAGGAGGGUGCAGGAGGAUACAGGAGGAUGCAGGAGGGUGCAGAGAUUGCAGAGGACACAGAAGGACGCAGGGGCUCCACAGUGCAACCAGCCCAAUCCCUCCUGGCUCUAUUUUGCAACCAUCCCACCGAGGGCAGGGGGCAGAGCAGCACCCAGAGCCCCUUCCCUGCCCCAGGCCAUGGGGAGCAGCACCCAGAGCCCUUUCCCUGCCCCAGGCCAUGGGGAGCAGCACCCAGAGCCCUUUCCCUGCCCCAGGCCAUGGGGAGCAGCACCCAGAGCCCCUUCCCUGCUCAGCCGAGCAGCUCUGCCAACAUCUCCUCUGUGCACAGCUGUUCAAAGACAAUAAAAAUUACCCUCCUGCCCUGCAGACUUCUCUCUGACAGCCCGUCUGGGGCUGAUCUGUGGCCAGCAGGAGCCCUGUGUCAGGAUGGGGGCCUGGCUGAGAGCAGGCAGGCUCUCCCCGGGCUCGGAGCUUGGUCAGAGCCUCUUUCAAGCAGGGUUAAAAAUGCAUGAGGGGACAAGGAUCACAACUGUGAGUCUGCCAGGAACCAAGGCUGCUGCUUUGACUUCACCCCCUGCAUCCACCACGGGGACCCCCCGGAGCAUCCCUGCUCCCGGUUUGGAGGGACAGGCCGGGGUCAGAGGGAUGCUCAUCCCUCAUUCCCAGCCCCUCCCAGCCCCUCCCAGCUCCUCCUGUUGCCCGUUUCUGCCUGGUUUUUGCAGGGGCAGGAGGAGUUUUGCUGUGAAAAGUCCAUUCCAAAGCUGCCACGUGCUGCCCAUCCAACCCCUGGGAGAUCCCAGCUCACGCCAGAGGGAAGCUCUUCCCUCUGGGAAGAUUCCCUCCGGAUUUAACUUGGGAAAAUGAUAAUAAAAGGGCAAAAACCCCCUCAAUUCCAUGCUGGCCUUGGGGAGGGGAGGUGAUUUCCCAGCCAUGUGGGGGGUGGAUGGGUCUCCAAGGCUUUGCUCCUGCCUGGCAUCGUGUGGAGCAUCCCUGGCACGUCCCCUCCCGUGGCACAGGGGGCACGGGUUUGGCAGGGCUGUCUGUGAGCAGGGGGCAUGGGGGGGGGGACUGCAGCCCUCAUUUGGGAAGGGAGUUGCCAUGGAAACCCAUCCCUUUCCUUUCUGACCACUGGAGAACACUUGUUCUCUGGUGCCAGGGAGGGAAACUUGAGCGGGAGGGGGGUGGGAGGGAGGUGGGGAACGAAACAGGGGGGAAAAACUGGGGGGAGAAAAUUCCCUGGCAGAGGAGAAAACGCCCCUGUGAGGCUGAGCCUCACCCUGCCCACCCCCCCUGCUCGCAGGGACGUGCCAAACCCAGCCAGGGCCACCAGGUACCAUCGGGGGGGGCUCUCCCUGCUGCCCACCCGGGAUGCUCCGGCGUUUUUCCGCCUGCCAGGCAAUGAACUGCUUCUCCCGGGCACCUGAACCUGAAUUCCUGCGGGGACCAGCACAAGCUCUAACAUUUUCUUGGAGGAAAAGGUUGUUACUGAGAUUAUUGACCUGGAGGGCAGAGUUAAAGCAGACUGGAAAUCAUAAAAAAACAAUUCCAUUUUCCACCCAGACUAUCAAGGCUCCCAGCAAAGUCUCCCUGGUUCUUUUCUUCUCUCCUUUUUUUUUUUUCUUUUUUAUUUUCCUCUGCUAACAGGCAGUUUUUAAGGUCACGGCGCUGCCUUGCUGUGCAUUAUCAAGUCAUUUACACAAUAUAUUUCUUCCCUCGGUGUUUCUUCCCCUGAUAAAGCAUCAAAUGCCAGGGCAGGAACGGGAGGGCUCUGGGAGGGGAUUGCUGGAGCAGAACCCUCCCCGGGAAGGACAGAGGUGAGAACAGCCAGGGAGGAGGGGGAGAAAGGCUGGCAGAGGUGAGAAACGCCGGGAGAAAGCCUGGAAUAAACCAGGCUUUGUGGUU